This 467-nucleotide ribosomal RNA is filed under the name uncultured bacterium. RNAcentral's name for it is "partial 16S ribosomal RNA". It matches the Rfam family "Bacterial small subunit ribosomal RNA", at positions 28 to 507 of the family's 1533-position model. The record is from RNAcentral.
GAUGAACGCUGGCGGCGUGCUUAACACAUGCAAGUCGAACGGAAAGGCCCAAGCUUGCUUGGGUACUCGAGUGGCGAACGGGUGAGUAACACGUGGGUGAUCUGCCCUGCACUUCGGGAUAAGCCUGGGAAACUGGGUCUAAUACCGGAUAGGACCACUUCUUGGAUGUUGUGGUGGAAAGUUUUUUCGGUGUGGGAUGAGCUCGCGGCCUAUCAGCUUGUUGGUGUGGUAAUGGCCUACCAAGGCGUCGACGGGUAGCCGGCCUGAGAGGGUGUACGGCCACAUUGGGACUGAGAUACGGCCCAGACUCCUACGGGAGGCAGCAGUGGGGAAUAUUGCACAAUGGGCGCAAGCCUGAUGCAGCGACGCCGCGUGGGGGAUGACGGCCUUCGGGUUGUAAACUCCUUUCGCUAGGGACGAAGCGUUUUGUGACGGUACCUGGAGAAGAAGCACCGGCUAACUACGUG